Molecule: small nuclear RNA, 106 nt
Organism: Loxodonta africana (African savanna elephant)
Lineage: Eukaryota; Metazoa; Chordata; Mammalia; Proboscidea; Elephantidae
Source: Ensembl
GUGCUCACUUUGGCAGCACAUAUACAAAAAUUGGAAUGAGGCAGAGAAGAUCAUCAUGGCCCCUGCACAAGGAUGACCUGAAAAUUCAUAAGUGUUCCAUAUAUUU